RNAcentral lists this small nuclear RNA (130 nucleotides) under Pteropus alecto (black flying fox). RNAcentral's name for it is "U4 spliceosomal RNA". It matches the Rfam family "U4 spliceosomal RNA". Rfam says of the family: U4 small nuclear RNA (U4 snRNA) is a component of the major U2-dependent spliceosome. The structure of U4 snRNA from yeast and human has been reported. The record is from Rfam by way of RNAcentral. Lineage: Eukaryota; Metazoa; Chordata; Mammalia; Chiroptera; Pteropodidae.
AGCUUUGCACAGUGGCCGUAUCAUAGCCAGUGAAGUUUAUCCAAGACAAGAUUUUUGCUAAUUGAAAAUUUAGUUUUCAAUAAUUAUAGCUUUUUCUAAAGAAUUCUGCUUCUGGCAAAAUAGUAUUAUU